Molecule: ribosomal RNA, 492 nt
Filed under: uncultured bacterium
Lineage: Bacteria
Description: partial 16S ribosomal RNA
Rfam family: Bacterial small subunit ribosomal RNA
Source: RNAcentral
AGUGAACGCUGGCGGUAGGCCUAACACAUGCAAGUCGAACGGCAGCACAGUAAGAGCUUGCUCUUACGGGUGGCGAGUGCCGGACGGGUGAGGAAUACAUCGGAAUCUACUUUUUCGUGGGGGAUAACGUAGGGAAACUUACGCUAAUACCGCAUACGACCUACGGGUGAAAGCAGGGGAUCUUCGGACCUUGCGCGAUUGAGUGAGCCGAUGUCGGAUUAGCUAGUUGGCGGGGUAAAGGCCCGCCAAGGCGACGAUCCGUAGCUGGUCUGAGAGGAUGAUCAGCCACACUGGAACUGAGACACGGUCCAGACUCCUACGGGAGGCAGCAGUGGGGAAUAUUGGACAAUGGGCGCAAGCCUGAUCCAGCCAUACCGCGUGGGUGAAGAAGGCCUUCGGGUUGUAAAGCCCUUUUGUUGGGAAAGAAAAGCAGCAGGUUAAUACCCCGCUGUUCUGACGGUACCCAAAGAAUAAGCACCGGCUAACUUCGUG